UUGAAGACGGGGAAGGUUAUAAACUCUCAUAUGGAGCAGUCGAGUUCAGGUACGUAUGUUCUCUUCAACCAUAAAUAAAAUCCGUAUGAAAUAAUUUCUUUAUGUUUGCAAAAUUAUAGUUUUUUGAGAAGGAAAAAAAAAAGAAAAAAGGGGGGUGAAAUCUGUCAAGACAGCCGUGUGACCACCCCAACCAGACUGGCUGAGAACGAUCAUCUACAGUCAACUCAUGAUGAUUCCCGUGGGUCUCACCACAGAACCGUUAAUCACGCUCUGAUCACACGGUCACAAAUCCUCAUCCAGAUUUAUGUUCCUGUCUCCUUAGAAAUCAAGGACACAGUAGUACGAUCCUAUAGAACAGAUCCUGUUCAAGUAAGGUCGUGACCAAAGCUCUCCGCGUGCUGUAUAUAAACAUUUAGCAUAAUCCUGAACCAAAAGAUGUGGGACUAUAUUUCAUGUUUGUAGUAUUAGUUUAAAAAAUGAGGUUUCUGUCUUUUGUUGUCACGCCUUGUUACUAUCAAUGCUCAUCAAUUUAGUAUAAAGUUUGAUGAAUUUUUCUAUACUCAAUGUUGCUAUACUAUAUCUGUUUCUGAAAUUCUUAAAAUAUUUUAGAACUGACUCCAAAGUGUGUGGUAAAAUGGUGCUAUUAGUGUUAGCUUCUGUAAACUUGGAAAACUAGAGUAUAAAAUAGAAAUUUCAAGCUUGUUUUUCUAGCUCUAACAAUAAGUUUUAUCUCAUUUCAAAGCUUAAUGGUUCAAGAGAAAGUGCAUUCUAAGCAAUGCAAUGAAAUAAAAAGAAUCUGCAAACAUUAUGUAACCUAUUUUGUUGAUAGUUUUGUACUAUAGGUGAUGAACUUAGGUUCCUGUCUCCCUAGAAACCGAUCCUGUUCAAGCAAGGUUCCUGUCUCCCUAGUAUGUCACGCAAGCUAAUAUUUUUGUAUAAUCUUGGACAGAAUCUGGUUUCCGAUGAACUCCUAUAUCUUCUCUUGCAAGGAUGUUGGUACACCUUUACUAUCAUAGCUCAAACAACUUGUAUGAUGCUGAGGUUAAGUUUGAUUGAACCAGAAAUCAAUCAUGUUAUGGAGGAGCCAGAACAACAAUUUCAUUGCGAUUAGAUGGGAAAAAAUGCGAGAGAAAUUUAUUGCAGAGUUUUGAUGGGGCGGUGGUAGGAGAGUCAAGACCAGCAGGUUGUGGAGGAGCUAUACGAAACUAUAAUGGUGGUUUCCCUGCUGCAUUCUCAGCUAAAGGGAUACAGUGAACAUAAUCUGCAAACAUUAUGUUUCUUAUUUUAUUGAUAGUUUUGUAUUAUAGGUGAUGAACUUAGGCUCCAGUCUCCCUAGAAACCAAUCAUAUUCAAGUAAGGUCGUAUCCGAUGUCCUCUCUGGUAUAUAAAUUUUUGUUAAAUCUUAAACUCUCAAUGCAGGACUGACUCGGUUGAUGUCUACACUGGUUCUAUAGAUGAAGUAAUAACUUUCUUGUCGCAGGCCAGUCAUAGUUUGGCAAAAUGUCGUUAACUCACAACAUCUCCAAACUUGGGAAGCAAAGGAUGAAUCAUAAAUUUCCCUGCUUUUAUUGGAUAGUCUUAACAUAAUUCUAGAUGUAGAAUUUGAUAUAUGUGAAAGUAACAAGCUGGGAUAUGGCUCAUUAGCAAUUACUUAUCUGUAUUGUGAGAAUUUCAAUUUUCGCCCCGACUACUACAUGGUCAUCCAUGUGUUUGAUCAACCUCAAAGUGAAAUGAUAUUUUUUCUGCAGCUUUGCAAUAUUUUGCAUCAGAUACUCUCCAAGUUCAAAAAGAGGCAAAUGGACAUUGGACAGGAAUCAGCAGUUUUUGUAAAGUAAUUUUUUUCUAUUGACUUUGAUAAGCAAUUGAAAUAUAUUCUCUAACA
This is a long non-coding RNA of Medicago truncatula (barrel medic), 1882 nucleotides long. RefSeq lists it as uncharacterized. The record is from RefSeq and is a predicted model, not a curated record. Lineage: Eukaryota; Viridiplantae; Streptophyta; Magnoliopsida; Fabales; Fabaceae. The transcript has 3 exons.